RNAcentral lists this ribosomal RNA (779 nucleotides) under Lactiplantibacillus plantarum. RNAcentral's name for it is "bacterial SSU rRNA". It matches the Rfam family "Bacterial small subunit ribosomal RNA", at positions 56 to 800 of the family's 1533-position model. The record is from RNAcentral. Lineage: Bacteria; Bacillati; Bacillota; Bacilli; Lactobacillales; Lactobacillaceae.
UGCAAGUCGAACGAACUCUGGUAUUGAUUGGUGCUUGCAUCAUGAUUUACAUUUGAGUGAGUGGCGAACUGGUGAGUAACACGUGGGAAACCUGCCCAGAAGCGGGGGAUAACACCUGGAAACAGAUGCUAAUACCGCAUAACAACUUGGACCGCAUGGUCCGAGUUUGAAAGAUGGCUUCGGCUAUCACUUUUGGAUGGUCCCGCGGCGUAUUAGCUAGAUGGUGAGGUAACGGCUCACCAUGGCAAUGAUACGUAGCCGACCUGAGAGGGUAAUCGGCCACAUUGGGACUGAGACACGGCCCAAACUCCUACGGGAGGCAGCAGUAGGGAAUCUUCCACAAUGGACGAAAGUCUGAUGGAGCAACGCCGCGUGAGUGAAGAAGGGUUUCGGCUCGUAAAACUCUGUUGUUAAAGAAGAACAUAUCUGAGAGUAACUGUUCAGGUAUUGACGGUAUUUAACCAGAAAGCCACGGCUAACUACGUGCCAGCAGCCGCGGUAAUACGUAGGUGGCAAGCGUUGUCCGGAUUUAUUGGGCGUAAAGCGAGCGCAGGCGGUUUUUUAAGUCUGAUGUGAAAGCCUUCGGCUCAACCGAAGAAGUGCAUCGGAAACUGGGAAACUUGAGUGCAGAAGAGGACAGUGGAACUCCAUGUGUAGCGGUGAAAUGCGUAGAUAUAUGGAAGAACACCAGUGGCGAAGGCGGCUGUCUGGUCUGUAACUGACGCUGAGGCUCGAAAGUAUGGGUAGCAAACAGGAUUAGAUACCCUGGUAGUCCAUAC